GUAGGGAAUCUUGCGCAAUGGGUGAAAGCCUGACGCAGCCAUGCCGCGUGAAUGAUGAAGGUCUUAGGAUUGUAAAAUUCUUUCACCGGGGACGAUAAUGACGGUACCCGGAGAAGAAGCCCCGGCUAACUUCGUGCCAGCAGCCGCGGUAAUACGAAGGGGGCUAGCGUUGCUCGGAAUUACUGGGCGUAAAGGGAGCGUAGGCGGAUAGUUUAGUCAGAGGUGAAAGCCCAGGGCUCAACCUUGGAAUUGCCUUUGAUACUGGCUAUCUUGAGUAUGGAAGAGGUAUGUGGAACUCCGAGUGUAGAGGUGAAAUUCGUAGAUAUUCGGAAGAACACCAGUGGCGAAGGCGACAUACUGGUCCAUUACUGACGCUGAGGCUCGAAAGCGUGGGGAGCAAACAGGAUUAGAUACCCUGGUAGUCC
This 425-nucleotide ribosomal RNA is filed under the name uncultured bacterium. RNAcentral describes it as "partial 16S ribosomal RNA". It matches the Rfam family "Bacterial small subunit ribosomal RNA", at positions 354 to 796 of the family's 1533-position model. The record is from RNAcentral.